This 253-nucleotide ribosomal RNA is filed under the name uncultured bacterium. Its description in RNAcentral is "partial 16S ribosomal RNA". It matches the Rfam family "Bacterial small subunit ribosomal RNA", at positions 524 to 776 of the family's 1533-position model. The record is from RNAcentral.
UACAGAGGGUGCAAGCGUUAAUCGGAAUUACUGGGCGUAAAGCGUGUGUAGGUGGUUUGUUAAGUUAGAUGUGAAAGCCCUGGGCUCAACCUGGGAAUUGCAUUUAAUACUGGCAGGCUAGAGUAGGGUAGAGGGAAGUGGAAUUUCCGGUGUAGCGGUGAAAUGCGUAGAUAUCGGAAAGAACACCAGUGGCGAAGGCGGCUUCCUGGAUCCAUACUGACACUGAGGCACGAAAGCGUGGGGAGCAAACAGG